CAAUAGCGUAUAUUUAAGUUGUUGCAGUUAAAAAGCUCGUAGUUGGAUUUCGGGCGGGGCCUGCCGGUCCGCCUUUGGUGUGCACUGGCAGGGUCCGCCUUGCUGUCGGGGACGGGUUCCUGGGCUUUACUGUCUGGGACUCGGAGUCGACGUGGUUACUUUGAGUAAAUUAGAGUGUUCAAAGCAGGCUUACGCUCUGAAUACAUUAGCAUGGAAUAACGCGAUAGGACUCUGGCCUAUCUUGUUGGUCUGUGGGACCGGAGUAAUGAUUAAGAGGGACAGUCGGGGGCAUUCGUAUUUCAUUGUCAGAGGUGAAAUUCUUGGAUUUAUGAAAGACGAACUAC
This 344-nucleotide ribosomal RNA is filed under the name Choricystis sp. ACT 1008. Its description in RNAcentral is "SSU rRNA". It matches the Rfam family "Eukaryotic small subunit ribosomal RNA", at positions 592 to 943 of the family's 1831-position model. RNAcentral also lists the same sequence under 1 other name. The record is from RNAcentral. Lineage: Eukaryota; Viridiplantae; Chlorophyta; Trebouxiophyceae.